Molecule: ribosomal RNA, 470 nt
Filed under: uncultured bacterium
Lineage: Bacteria
Description: bacterial SSU rRNA
Rfam family: Bacterial small subunit ribosomal RNA
Source: RNAcentral
GAUGAACGCUGGCGGCGUGCUUAACACAUGCAAGUCGAACGAAGAAGAGUUGAAUGAGAGCUUCGGCAGGAUUUCUUCUCAUCUUAGUGGCGGACGGGUGAGUAACGUGUGGGCAACCUGCCCUAUACUGGGGAAUAAUCACUGGAAACGGUGACUAAUACCGCAUGUCAUCACCGGAGGGCAUCCUCUGGUGAAAAAAGGAGCAAUUCGGUAUAGGAUGGGCCCGCAUCUGAUUAGCUAGUUGGUGAGAUAACAGCCCACCAAGGCGACGAUCAGUAGCCGACCUGAGAGGGUGAUCGGCCACAUUGGGACUGAGACACGGGCCCAAAACUCCUACGGGAGGCAGCAGUUAGGAAUAUUCGUCAAUGGAGGAAACUCUGAACGAGCAAUGCCGCGUGAGUGAUGACGGUCUUUAUGAUUGUAAAACUCUGUUAUAAGGGGAUAAAGUGUAGAGACUUGUCUCAUUUUGC